UGACUCGAAUCAGUAGANACCGUGAAUUAAA
This 31-nucleotide ribosomal RNA is filed under the name Epichloe festucae. Its description in RNAcentral is "partial 28S ribosomal RNA". Lineage: Eukaryota; Fungi; Ascomycota; Sordariomycetes; Hypocreales; Clavicipitaceae. The record is from RNAcentral.